RNAcentral lists this ribosomal RNA (790 nucleotides) under Escherichia coli. Its description in RNAcentral is "partial 23S ribosomal RNA". It matches the Rfam family "Bacterial large subunit ribosomal RNA", at positions 403 to 1194 of the family's 2925-position model. The record is from RNAcentral. Lineage: Bacteria; Pseudomonadati; Pseudomonadota; Gammaproteobacteria; Enterobacterales; Enterobacteriaceae.
GCUCGAUGAGUAGGGCGGGACACGUGGUAUCCUGUCUGAAUAUGGGGGGACCAUCCUCCAAGGCUAAAUACUCCUGACUGACCGAUAGUGAACCAGUACCGUGAGGGAAAGGCGAAAAGAACCCCGGCGAGGGGAGUGAAAAAGAACCUGAAACCGUGUACGUACAAGCAGUGGGAGCACGCUUAGGCGUGUGACUGCGUACCUUUUGUAUAAUGGGUCAGCGACUUAUAUUCUGUAGCAAGGUUAACCGAAUAGGGGAGCCGAAGGGAAACCGAGUCUUAACUGGGCGUUAAGUUGCAGGGUAUAGACCCGAAACCCGGUGAUCUAGCCAUGGGCAGGUUGAAGGUUGGGUAACACUAACUGGAGGACCGAACCGACUAAUGUUGAAAAAUUAGCGGAUGACUUGUGGCUGGGGGUGAAAGGCCAAUCAAACCGGGAGAUAGCUGGUUCUCCCCGAAAGCUAUUUAGGUAGCGCCUCGUGAAUUCAUCUCCGGGGGUAGAGCACUGUUUCGGCAAGGGGGUCAUCCCGACUUACCAACCCGAUGCAAACUGCGAAUACCGGAGAAUGUUAUCACGGGAGACACACGGCGGGUGCUAACGUCCGUCGUGAAGAGGGAAACAACCCAGACCGCCAGCUAAGGUCCCAAAGUCAUGGUUAAGUGGGAAACGAUGUGGGAAGGCCCAGACAGCCAGGAUGUUGGCUUAGAAGCAGCCAUCAUUUAAAGAAAGCGUAAUAGCUCACUGGUCGAGUCGGCCUGCGCGGAAGAUGUAACGGGGCUAAACCAUGCAC